GACGAACGCUGGCGGCGUGCUUAACACAUGCAAGUCGAACGGAAAGGCCCUGCUUUUGUGGGGUGCUCGAGUGGCGAACGGGUGAGUAACACGUGAGUAACCUGCCCUUGACUUUGGGAUAACUUCAGGAAACUGGGGGUAAUACCGGAUAGGAGCUCCUGCUGCCUGGUGGGGGUUGGAAAGUUUCGGCGGUUGGGGAUGGACUCGCGGCUUAUCAGCUUGUUGGUGGGGUAGUGGCUUACCAAGGCUUCGACGGGUAGCCGGCCUGAGAGGGUGACCGGCCACAUUGGGACUGAGAUACGGCCCAGACUCCUACGGGAGGCAGCAGUGGGGAAUAUUGCACAGUGGGCGGAAGCCUGAUGCAGCAACUCCGCGUGCGGGAUGACGGCCUGCGGGUUGUAAACCGCUUUCGCCUGUGACGAAGUGUGAGUGACGGUAAUGGGUAAAGAAGCACCGGCUAACUACGUG
RNAcentral lists this ribosomal RNA (468 nucleotides) under uncultured bacterium. RNAcentral's name for it is "partial 16S ribosomal RNA". It matches the Rfam family "Bacterial small subunit ribosomal RNA", at positions 28 to 507 of the family's 1533-position model. The record is from RNAcentral.